Molecule: ribosomal RNA, 1386 nt
Filed under: Triticum aestivum (bread wheat)
Lineage: Eukaryota; Viridiplantae; Streptophyta; Magnoliopsida; Poales; Poaceae
Description: partial small subunit ribosomal RNA
Source: RNAcentral
AUGCCGCAGAAGAGGCUCCGCCGCCGCCGCAGGAGGUCUCCUCGCCGGCGCCGUGGUGAAGAAGGCGCAUCUUUAUCUGCCCCCCUUGUCGAAUCGGAUAGCAGCAGCGUGACUUCCGGCGCACCGGCGCCGGAACCCCUCGACGAGCCGCCGGCUCGCGAGUACGAGUCCAGGUACCAUGAGAUGCUCGCCUCGCGCCUCGCCGUGCUGCCUCUACCAGCCUACGCCGACGAGGAAGGCCCAGAUCUCCCUUCUGAUGAAACCUUCGAAGCCCUCGUUCGUCCUUAUUUCUACGAUGACGAGCUGCGGGCUGCUCUGGUACAGUACCAAGCCCACAAGCUCUUGAGCGGACCAGAUGAUGUCCAUGGACGAGAUGGAGAUUCUGAGGCUGAAGUUGAUUCGUCCUCCUCACUGAUGGAUGAUAUCACCGAGGAGGAAUUCGUCAAGUACUCUGAAGAGCUCAAGGCUCGCAGCAGUGCUGAAAUUGACACUGACACUAGACUGAAUCAAGAGCAGUUCAACAGGCUCCAUGUCAAGUAUGUUCGUUAUCGCAUCAAAGCUUGCCUGUUGUUGAAAGGAAAGCAUAUCGACGAGCUAGACGACGCUACAUUGGAACGCAAGUGCCCUAUUGAGCUUGCCUUGGGGGACAAAGACUUGUCCCCUUACCUGGAAGAUGGCGCCUUUGGCUGGUAUUUCGACUCCGACCUCUGCUUACUUUCUUCCUUGAGCGACUACCAGCGGCUAGUCCUUCCUAACUGUACUUGGAGUGAGUAUGAAAGCUUGAGCCAAUACAUAGCGUUUUAUAACACCCCUGAAGUUGAUAGAGACUAUGUGCUGUACUGGGAAAAGAUGGUCAAGGAAAUUAAGUGGCUUGAAUAUCAUGUGCUUAAAGAAGAUACUCCGGAGUGGGAUCAAAUCCGUCGUAAAGGUUUAUACCAAGCAAUUAGGAUUGCUGCAGAGUUCCCCAACAUUGAUUUCAGUCUAGCAUAUUAUGGUUUCAUGGAGUAUAUAUGGAGGACUCGCUUUUAUGUCGUGUUUGUGAAAGGUCUUGACCGUGCCUAUUUUGAGAUUUGGGAGCGGGUUACUGGGCAGCAGAUGUGUUUCAGAGAUGCUCUGCAGGAAGUUUGCAAUGAGAAUUCGGUUCCAUCGCGCCAACACACUUUGAAGGACGAGCUAAAGCGACCCGGAGGCUUUUUGCAACUGGAGCAACAACUCCGCCGGUGCACAGAGGGCAUUAGUAAGGAAGUUCCAGAUUGGAUAGCUCGUGAGAUGAUUUCUCAGGAAGUUAGAUUCAAGCGCGCGUUGCCGAAGACGUAUGCGCAGUACGCCAGGAAGAAGCUCAAGGUUGCAGAAGCCAUAGGAUUGAUUCCCAAGGCCAAGGCCUAG